This 407-nucleotide ribosomal RNA is filed under the name uncultured bacterium. RNAcentral's name for it is "partial 16S ribosomal RNA". It matches the Rfam family "Bacterial small subunit ribosomal RNA", at positions 30 to 526 of the family's 1533-position model. The record is from RNAcentral.
AUUGAACGCUGGCGGCAGGCCUAACACAUGCAAGUCGAGCGGAGCGGCGGACGGGUGAGUAAUACCUAGGAAUCUGCCUGGUCGUGGGGGAUAACGUCCGGAAACGGGAGCUCAUGCCGCAUACUCUCAGAUGAGCCUAGGUCGGAUUAGCUAGUUGGUGGGGUAAAGGCCUACCAAGGCGACGAUCCGUAACUGGUCUGAGAGGAUGAGCAUGCACACUGGAACUGAGACACGGUCCAGACUCCUACGUGAGGCAGCAGUGGGGAAUAUUGGACAAUGGGCGAAAGCCUGAUCCAGCCAUGCCGCGUGUGUGAAGAAGGUCUUCGGAUUGUAAAGCACUUUAAGUUGGGAGGCGUUACCAACAGAAUAAGCACCGGCUAACUACGUGCCAGCAGCCGCGGUAAUAC